GUCCACGCCGUAAACGAUGAGUACUGGGUGUCGCGGGUAGUUGACCCCUGCGGUGCCGUAGCUAACGCGUUAAGUACUCCGCCUGGGGAUUACGGUCGCAAGAUUAAAAACUCAAAAGGAAUUGACGGGGGCCCGCACAAGCGGUGGAGCAUGUGGUUUAAUUCGACGCAACGCGAAGAACCUUACCUGGGCUAGACAACGGUGGACCUCCCCAGAGAUGGGGCUUUCCCUUCGGGGACUGCCGGUUCAGGUGCUGCAUGGCUGUCGU
Molecule: ribosomal RNA, 268 nt
Filed under: uncultured bacterium
Lineage: Bacteria
Description: partial 16S ribosomal RNA
Rfam family: Bacterial small subunit ribosomal RNA
Source: RNAcentral